Limulus polyphemus (Atlantic horseshoe crab) is the source of this 111-nucleotide long non-coding RNA. RefSeq lists it as uncharacterized. NCBI's taxonomy places the organism in Eukaryota, Metazoa, Arthropoda, Merostomata, Xiphosura, Limulidae. The record is from RefSeq and is a predicted model, not a curated record. The transcript is spliced from 3 exons.
AAUAUAUCUAUAUAUACUCAAAAAAUCAUUCACGCUACAGUUCGUGCUCUUUACAAAAUUUCAUCGGGCCACGGGUUACCGAGUUAGCGCCGUUUUUCGAGUCAGUUUUAU